UUGGCAUUUUAAUUAAUUUGACAAAAAAAUUAAAAAUUCUAAAUUUUAUUUUUUAACUGACGCGAAGACUUUGGAGUUAAGAGUAAACAAAAUUUUAAACCAACCGCAAUGGAUGUGGCGCAUAAUAGUGUGGGAGUAGUUGGCACAGUGGCAUUUUUGUUCCUUCUGUCGCAUACGACAACUAAGGUAAUGCUCAAGGCGACGACGCCUCUCUGUGAAAUGGCAGGGCGAGCGUUGAUGGAGCCACGGGGUUAUGUGCAGAAAAUGCUUAUGAGUGCACCAAUGCGAAAUACUUGUUCGUUGGUCAAGAAAACGGGAUGUGGCCUUUACAAUUUAGUCGAGAUCUUUGCCAACUCGAAUGUCAGAAGCAUGCCUAAUAUAAAGCCAAUGUAUAUGACAAGUUUCCGCAAUUCAAUGCACCCAUAUUAUUAUUAACUACAAUGGAACGUCGGCAGGAAUACAUUUCGAGAUAAACCUUAACAACUCCAUUAAAACAGAUGGAAUAAUCAUUAGAGCUGCGAAAGUAACCCCAGUAGACUAUGAAGAAUAUGGGUUAUACCUUUAUUUUGAAUUUAUUUCAUUUGGAAGUCUCGUCUUGUAGGGAAUGAAUUAAUUUUCGGCUGGGUUGGCGAAAGUACAACCACGGAUAUUUUCAGCUCAAAAACGUGGAAUAUCUGGUAGAAGAGAUCUUUUUGUGCACUUUUCAAGGUUGCUAAAAUGCAUGUCAUUGUCCAAUUCAAUCCCUUCUAUAUUGGUCCAUGCCCACCUUGCCGUCUGGUCUAUGCUGACUGUGGAUCUUGUCGUCCAUGUGGAGGCUGCUGCUGCUCUAGUUCACCAUGCGGUUGGUGAAGUUAGCUAGCUGCUCCACAUGGGUUACUUCGGUAAAUAGUCUGCUGGUUGAGUUGCUUUGCAACUUUCGCUCUAUAUGAUUCUAUCUGUUCUAAACAAGUCUUCAAGUCGUUAAUUAUGUUUGUGAUAUUAAAUAGGGUUUGUUCUAUUUGAUAUCAUAAAUGUCAAUGGGCUGAUUGUAUUUGGUGGUUAUACAUAUAUGCAAGACCAGUGAAAUUAUGUUUAAUGCUAAAUUCUCAAUAAAUUAAGAAUGCAAACACA
This is a long non-coding RNA of Drosophila sulfurigaster albostrigata, 1110 nucleotides long. RefSeq lists it as uncharacterized. Lineage: Eukaryota; Metazoa; Arthropoda; Insecta; Diptera; Drosophilidae. The transcript is spliced from 3 exons. The record is from RefSeq and is a predicted model, not a curated record.